CUGGGGAUCACAUGAGCAAUGGAGUGGCGUAUUGAAGCUGCAAGCAAAGCAAAAACUGCAGCUACAAGCCCACAACAAACAAGCAAAAAUAGAAACUUCCAUCGAUCUAUAGUUUAUUGUUAUUAUUAUAUUCCUCCUCCAAGUUGUUUGCACGUCACUCCCUAAUCCAAGAUGUCCGCCAUCUAUCAGCCCAUUCAAACUUGCGUCACCAUAUCGCUAUCUUUAUCUCUUUUACGUUUCCCAAUAGUUUAUUUCUUCUAUUUAAUUCAAUCUCUCUAUAAAUCCACUUCUUUCUUCUUUUGCCGGGAAUAUCCCUUCUGGGUUUCUCGGCUUUCUUCUUCAAUUCUUGGGGUAUUUUGUUUCUUACUUUCUUUGUUGGACUUUUAUAAGUUUUUCUGAUGGUGUUAUGAGAGACCCAUUUGGCUUUUGUUUUGAUUUUUAGGCUUUUGUGUUUAUACCUUUGACGGGUUUUUGGGUUUGUUCACCAGGAAAGAUGGGUGCGAGUUGAGGACGCAUUUGGCUUCUGUUCGUGGUGGUGCCUGGGAAUUUCAAAAUUUCAAGGUUUAGUUAUUGUUUGGGUUCUUGCUGGAUUUGGAGUCCUGUGCCGGAUUAAGAGAUUUGUUCAUAUGAGCAAAUCUUGGUGAGUUACAGGAAUUCCACAAGACACAAUCUUUUCUUUAGCCAAGGUAUGGAUAUAAGUAAUGAGGCCACUGUUGAUCCAUUUUCAAUUGGACCCUCAACGAUCAUUGGCAGGACGAUUGCUUUCAGAGUCUUGUUCUGCAAGUCAAUGUCACAUUUGAGGCGUAAAAUAUAUCAUUUGUUACUGAAUUACUUUCAAAGAUUUAGGGAUGCUUCUGCAUCCAUACUGACAUGGUUGCAUCCGCGGAAUCCUCAAGGGAUAUUGGCCAUGGUAACAAUAAUUGCUUUUCUUUUGAAACGGUGCACGAAUGUGAAAUUGAGGGCUGAGAUGGCUUACAGGAGGAAAUUUUGGAGGAAUAUGAUGAGAACUGCAUUGACAUACGAAGAGUGGGCACACGCUGCGAAGAUGCUUGAUAAAGAGACACCAAAGAUGCAUGAAUCAGACCUUUAUGAUGAAGAACUAGUGAGAAAUAAACUUCAGGAGCUCCGACACCGUCGACAGGAGGGAUCUCUUAGAGACAUUAUCUUUUUCAUGAGAGCUGAUCUUAUAAGAAAUCUUGGUAAUAUGUGUAACCCAGAGCUUCAUAAGGGUAGGCUUCAAGUGCCCAAGCUCAUAAAGGAAUACAUUGAUGAGGUCUCAACUCAGUUGAGAAUGGUUUGUGAUUCAGAUUCGGAGGAGCUUGCACUGGAAGAGAAGCUUUCUUUCAUGCAUGAGACAAGACAUGCAUUUGGGAGAACAGCUUUGCUUUUGAGUGGUGGUGCUUCCCUUGGAGCCUUUCAUGUGGGUGUGGUUAAAACGCUGGUGGAGCAUAAGCUUUUGCCAAGAAUAAUUGCUGGUUCCAGUGUGGGAUCCAUUAUUUGUUCUGUUGUUGCCACUAGAUCGUGGCCAGAGCUACAGAGCUUUUUUGAGGGUUCUUUGCACUCAUUGCAGUUUUUUGAUCAGAUGGGUGGGCUUUUUACUGUUGUGAAGAGGGUCAGGACACAAGGAGCCGUCCAUGAAAUACGGCAGUUGCAAUGGAUGUUAAGGCAUCUGACGAGUAAUCUUACAUUUCAAGAAGCUUAUGACAUGACAGGUCGAAUUCUUGGGAUCACAGUAUGCUCCCCUAGGAAGCAUGAGCCUCCUAGGUGCCUUAACUACCUGACUUCACCUCAUGUUGUUAUAUGGAGUGCAGUCACUGCUUCUUGUGCCUUUCCUGGCCUUUUUGAGGCACAGGAACUGAUGGCUAAGGACAGGAGUGGAGAAAUUGUUCCAUAUCAUCCACCUUUUAAUCUGGAUCCUGAGGAAGGACCAAGCACAUCUGCUCGCCGGUGGAGGGAUGGUAGCCUGGAAAUCGAUUUACCAAUGAUGCAAUUGAAGGAACUGUUCAAUGUCAAUCAUUUUAUUGUGAGUCAGGCAAAUCCUCACGUUGCUCCAUUAUUGAGAAUGAAGGAGUUUGUGAGAGCUUAUGGUGGUAACUUUGCUGCCAAGCUUGCUCAUCUUACUGAGAUGGAGGUAAAACAUAAAUUCAAUCAGGCACUGGAACUUGGUUUUCCAUUGGGGGGACUUGCCAAGCUUGCUCAUCUUACUGAGAUGGAGGUAAAACAUAAAUUCAAUCAGGCACUGGAACUUGGUUUUCCAUUGGGGGGAC
This 2267-nucleotide unclassified non-coding RNA is filed under the name Hevea brasiliensis (rubber tree). Lineage: Eukaryota; Viridiplantae; Streptophyta; Magnoliopsida; Malpighiales; Euphorbiaceae. The record is from RNAcentral.